UUUUUUUUUACCAACAUAUUACAUUUGUGUUUUAUUAGGCUAUAUACCUAUAUAAAUAGCAAUAUUGAUUUUCAAAAAGUUUUAUUUACAUGUGCUUACAGUAUGCAAAAUAUGUGAAAUAAAGAUUCUCAUUCAUUCAAGGUGGAGGCAAAGAGAAAACUGUCCUCCCACCGCCAGAGCGUGGCUGCAACUGGUGGGGGCCCAUGUACAGCUGAUCUCACAUCAGUGGACAGCAAAAUCGCGGCUAUAAUUGGGGAGGUCAGCGUGUGUGUGGUAUUGUGUCGGAAAAGGAGGGAGACACUGACGUGACUGAAACCACAGAGGAGCAAGUCCUUCCGGAGUCUGAAGCUGUAAAUGAACAGGAGGUUCAGGGUGAGGGGUUCUCAGAUGCAGAUGCACAGCGUCCGGCUCAAAGCAGUGCCCCUUCUGCGUCUGGCACGUCCAAAAGUGGUCGGGUACUCACUGACGCAGUCCUGCAGUUACAGCGAGAGACAAUAAACGCUGUCAACGGGGUUGCAGAUGAGCUACGGCAGAUGAGAGAAGUGAUGCAAGAAAUUGCACAAUCAUUAAAAGAUGCAGUUAAAACAUGAA
This is a long non-coding RNA of Cyprinus carpio (common carp), 591 nucleotides long. RefSeq lists it as uncharacterized. The transcript is spliced from 2 exons. Lineage: Eukaryota; Metazoa; Chordata; Actinopteri; Cypriniformes; Cyprinidae. The record is from RefSeq and is a predicted model, not a curated record.